GACGAACGCUGGCGGCGUGCUUAACACAUGCAAGUCGAACGGAAAGGCCCUGCUUUUGUGGGGUUCUCGAUUGGCGAACGGGUGAGUAACACGUGAGUAACCUGCCCCUGACUUUGGGAUAACUUCAGGAAACUGGGGCUAAUACCGGAUAGGAUCUCCUGCUGCAUGUUGUGGGUUGGAAAGUUUCGGCGGUUGGGGAUGGACUCGCGGCUUAUCAGCUUGUUGGUGGGGUAGUGGCUUACCAAGGCUUUGACGGGUAGCCGGCCUGGGAGGGUGACCGGCCACAUUGGGACUGAGAUACGGCCCAGACUCCUACGGGAGGCAGCAGUGGGGAAUAUUGCACAAUGGGCGGAAGCCUGAUGCAGCAACGCCGCGUGCGGGAUGACGGCCUUCGGGUUGUAAACCGCUUUCGCCUGUGACGAAGCGUGAGUGACGGUAAUGGGUAAAAAAGCACCGGCUAACUACGUG
RNAcentral lists this ribosomal RNA (468 nucleotides) under uncultured bacterium. RNAcentral describes it as "partial 16S ribosomal RNA". It matches the Rfam family "Bacterial small subunit ribosomal RNA", at positions 28 to 507 of the family's 1533-position model. The record is from RNAcentral.